GCUUAGCUCAGCUGGUUUAGAGCAUCUGCCUUACAAGCAGAGGGUCGGCGGUUCGAAUCCGUCA
Molecule: transfer RNA, 64 nt
Filed under: uncultured Prevotella sp.
Lineage: Bacteria; Pseudomonadati; Bacteroidota; Bacteroidia; Bacteroidales; Prevotellaceae
Rfam family: tRNA
About the family: Transfer RNA (tRNA) molecules are approximately 80 nucleotides in length. Their secondary structure includes four short double-helical elements and three loops (D, anti-codon, and T loops).
Source: RNAcentral